AUAACACUCAAUUAAUUGCUGCUGUGUUAAAAUAUGCCUUGAGGGAGGAGGACAAGAUGGCGGAGGAGUAGGGGGACACGCUCGCCCUCUCCCACAAACACAACAAAAAAAGCACAUCUACAGAAGAAAUGACUCGCACAGAACAACAACCAAUCGCUGGCAGAGGAACCUAAACUCCAAUAACGGCAAGAAGUUCGUGACAUUAUUGGGCAGAACGGGAGAAAAGAGGAGAGUGAGAGAAGGUGAAUCCGAGCGGGACGGGCGCUCCCGAAAGGGAACUGCGGAGGAGAAAGGGAUCCCGCACCCUGGAAAGUCUCCUACCGGGGGAAAGAUCAAACGAACCGGAGGAAUCUCCAGAUGCAGAGAAGAGUGUAGCAGUAAGUCGGAGUACGGAAAAACGAUCAAGAACCCAACGGACCAUCUGAACUACGGGCACAGUCACCAAAAAUUGAGACGCCUGGGUGGGGGCUGGGCACCGAAUCCUCGGCUCCAGAGGUUAGUCCCCGGGAAAGGGCCGGGGGACGCCUGGGUGGGGGCUGGGCACCGAGACCUCAGCUCUGAAGGUUGGUCCCCGAGAGGGGGCCGGGGGACGCCUGGGUUGGGGCUGGGCACCGAGACCUCGCCUCCGAAGGUUAGUCCCCAAGAAAGGGCCGGGGGGCGCCGCCUGGGUGGGGGCUGGGCACCGAGACCUCGGCUCCAGAGAUUAGUCCCCGGGCUAGGGGGCGGGGAAGAGCGGAAACUGCUUGGGAGGUCUCUAAACCAUUUGACGGGGCAGAGACUGCCUGGGAGACUAGAAAACAAAGCUGUCGCAGAGGAAGGGAGCAAUACUCUAGGGGCGGGGAAGUGGAAAGCCGCCUCAGAGGGAACCUGGAGAAGAGCCUGGUCUGCGCCCGUGCUGGGGAGGGGAGAGAAGAAGGGGUGGGUCCCCAUAGAAUACCCCCCACGCCACAGCAAGCUUACAGGCCCGCUAGCUAGCAGAAAGCUGUGCUUCCCAGUGCAUUCCCUCCCCCCACCCCGCCACCCCCUACGCUCUCGCCGAACCUGGGCUGCCUGCCAUCCAGGAGGGCUGGCCUCAACAAUUGCCUGAAGCCUACCACCGCAGGGGCUCUCCCUGCACAGGCCUGCUUGCCCUUUGGAGGGGCUACACUUCCAC
RNAcentral lists this long non-coding RNA (1153 nucleotides) under Sus scrofa (pig). Its description in RNAcentral is "lncRNA (ENSSSCG00070010465.1)". Lineage: Eukaryota; Metazoa; Chordata; Mammalia; Artiodactyla; Suidae. The record is from RNAcentral.